CUGCUCUCACGCUCUCCCUACUUCCAGGCUGCAAGCAGAGGGCUGACUGGGCGGCCAGGGGAGUGAUCCCCACAACCUGGUCUGCGAAUGCUGGGGCCCGCGGAGACCCGCGGAGGCGCUAUAGGUUUAAAGGUUCUUCCCUGAGCACCUGACUUAGUGAACCUACUCACAUUCCUCCCUACAGCCAGCACCCAGCCACUCUUUGGGAAAAUGUACAACAGAGAAAAACAGAGCUGGAGAUCUCUACCGCCCCCUUCUUCACACAGUAUCAUCUUUGCAGCCCCUCCUUCUUUCUCAACAGGUGUUCUGAAAAUGACAUGUGAUUUAAGAACUCUGGGUUUCACACCACAUCUGAAAACAAACAUACACCUCUUCUAAAAAGAAAAACGUAUUGCUUUGCAAUCCAAUGUAUUGUUCAACAUAUGGAUUGACUUCUGUUGAAUACUAAGGAUUACUACAAAUAAAAAUAAAUCAUUGUACUGUUAA
Long non-coding RNA from Erinaceus europaeus (western European hedgehog), 486 nucleotides. RefSeq lists it as uncharacterized. Lineage: Eukaryota; Metazoa; Chordata; Mammalia; Eulipotyphla; Erinaceidae. The record is from RefSeq and is a predicted model, not a curated record. The transcript is spliced from 2 exons.